This 393-nucleotide ribosomal RNA is filed under the name uncultured bacterium. RNAcentral describes it as "partial 16S ribosomal RNA". It matches the Rfam family "Bacterial small subunit ribosomal RNA", at positions 523 to 918 of the family's 1533-position model. The record is from RNAcentral.
AUACGGAGGAUCCGAGCGUUAUCCGGAUUUAUUGGGUUUAAAGGGAGCGUAGGUGGAUUGUUAAGUCAGUUGUGAAAGUUUGCGGCUCAACCGUAAAAUUGCAGUUGAAACUGGCAGGCUUGAGUACAGUAGAGGUGGGUGGAAUUCGUGGUGUCGCGGUGAAAUGCUUAGAUAUCACGAAGAACUCCGAUUGCGAAGGCAGCUCACUAGACUGUUACUGACACUGAUGCUCGAAAGUGUGGGUAUCAAACAGGAUUAGAUACCCUGGUAGUCCACACAGUAAACGAUGAAUACUCGCUGUUUGCGAUAUACAGUAAGCGGCCAAGCGAAAGCAUUAAGUAUUCCACCUGGGGAGUACGCCGGCAACGGUGAAACUCAAAUGAAUUGGCGGGG